CAGCUUAACGCCCCGCGCCGCGAGUGGGAGGGAUGCUACCUACCUUGCGCCCCCCGGGAACAGAAAGGUCGCAGGAAGGACACCAGCUUGCAGUGCCCCAGAGUGGGCUCUUCUCCCCUCAGACUCCUGGUCACUGGGGAAUGGCGCGGGGCCAGAGUGCGCCUCCCGAUCAUCCACCCUCUACCUACAGGGUAAGGGAUGCCAGAACAACCCAGCCGACCUAGAGCGGCCCUGCCUGCAUAGUCAGUCCAGGCUGGCCAGGGUCAGAAGCUCCUGGUCCUGCCAAGUACAGAAAUCCAGGCCAACCGUGACCUCAGCUCACUACCUCUCCAGGCACUUUUACAGCUUGCCUGUCACCAGGAGCCUCUUGUUUUCCCCGAACCUGAGUUCCAGCUCUCUAAUGCAGGAAGUGAUGCUGGGGAGAGCUUAGCUAACCUUCCUGCUCAUGGCUGAGCCUUGGAAGGAAGGCGCUGUGGAGACCGGGAGCAUCACGCUUGUGGACCUUGGUCGUAAGAAAAGGCCUGCAGGUGUCUGCUGGGAUAUUCUGGAAAAGCCCUUCUGGGAAGUUGAAUUUGUUUAGCAUGAACCUUUGUUUUGUGCAUGUAAAGGGAAGCAAAUCAUUAAAUUAUUAAGGGAAGACGCCACCCAUCAAAGGGUUAACUGGUGCACAGCUAGUGCACAUAGCAAACGUGUUUCCAUGCUGGACUGUCACCUCUCCCACCAACACGGUUGGUAGAGGCAAUGUGCUCUGUAGUUAUGACACUUCUCAGACUACUAUGACUAGUUAGGUCAGAUUAUAUCCUAGGUACCGUGACAGCUCAGGUGACAGCUCGGGGUCGUUUGGAAGUAGCACUUAACUAAAGUUACAGGAGCGGACUGUGUUGAACUCUCAAACCUGUCUGAACACAGAGAAGACACUCCUAUUGUCUCUGUGGAAGACCACGGGGUAAAGUACUCAAAGAACUCCCAGACUGGAAUCAUGAAGGACAUUUUCCAAGGAGCUUUGUGAGAGGAAAUAGGUCGGUACUUCGAUGUGCUCCCCUGGAGUAGAGAGAACAUAACAUCCCCCCCCUUCCCCCCCGUCCAAGUCUGUGAGAGAAGAACCACAUCAGCCAGGGCUUGGUAUGAAACUGGUCAGAAAGGAGUUGGACUGGCUCAAUUUGGCCCAAUCUAUUAUAGUAUCACACAUCACCACGUCUGAUAGUCCACAGGUGGGAAUGUGGGACGUUCCAUUUCAAGUCUUCUUUGACCCAUGGGAUGCCAAGAAAAGUUAGGCUUUGUUAUCAAACACUGAGGGAUUUUCUUUUAAUUAGUAUGUAAAGGCACUCAUAAAUACGUAAGUGUAUUUAGUUACAUAUGCAAAGCGUACUUCCACUGUGCCCUAGCAGUGUAUGAUUUUAACCUUUAAACCUCAUGAAGAUCCUGUAUGGCUGGCACUGUGAUCAUCGCAGACGACCCGUGAGAUCAAACUGCUUGUGUUACAUAAUUGAACCCACACUCUGCAUCUGCUGAUGUAAUGUUCUGAUGCUGUCAACUGGGUCAUGGCCGUGACAGAUUGUUUCUGUCUGGUGUGUCAGAUGCCGAGAAUGGUGUAUUACAGAUGUCAACUCUCCCUACCCAUUCCGGACUGCCCUAAGCAUCUAAACAAUGUUACAAAGUAAUCCAACCAGUGUAAGGGUGGGAGCUCACAGAAAAUAGCUAUAUUGUUAAUCUUAGAAUCAAAUGAAAUGGGUCACAGGCUAAAGGGAAAUGACUUUAAAGUUUCUAGAAGAAAAUGUGGGAAAAUAUUGGUCUCCUGAUAGGAUACACUAAACUCUCAAAAAAGCACUAAGUGGCCUUAAUCAAGGCUUAAAGUUCUUGCUCAUCUCAGGGCCUGGUUAAAAUGAAAGGACAAGAUGUGCUUCAGGUAGAUACUGUCAGCACACGGUGAGGGCUUGUGUGUGUGCUGCAUCCCCACAGGUUUGUGUAUUUCAGAACUUGGUCCCCAGUUGGUGGCACUUGUUUUGGGGGAAGGUUGUGAGUCUUUAGGAGUCUAGCUGGAGGAAGAGGGUUACUAGGAGGGUGGGCCUUGGGAUAUAUAUUCAAACCCUCCUUCCCACUCUAUUUCUUGCUUAGUGCCAGGUAAUAAGCAGCUCCCACCAAGGAGCCCCCAAUCACCAUGCCUUCCCCAUCGUGACAGACCGUGUCCCUUCAAACCAUGAGCCAAAUAAG
This 2211-nucleotide long non-coding RNA is filed under the name Rattus norvegicus (Norway rat). RNAcentral's name for it is "long non-coding RNA NONRATT032206". The record is from RNAcentral. Lineage: Eukaryota; Metazoa; Chordata; Mammalia; Rodentia; Muridae.